RNAcentral lists this ribosomal RNA (265 nucleotides) under Alkalihalophilus pseudofirmus. RNAcentral's name for it is "Bacillus pseudofirmus partial 16S ribosomal RNA". It matches the Rfam family "Bacterial small subunit ribosomal RNA", at positions 1277 to 1533 of the family's 1533-position model. The record is from RNAcentral. Lineage: Bacteria; Bacillati; Bacillota; Bacilli; Caryophanales; Bacillaceae.
UAAAACCAUUCUCAGUUCGGAUUGUAGGCUGCAACUCGCCUACAUGAAGCCGGAAUCGCUAGUAAUCGCGGAUCAGCAUGCCGCGGUGAAUACGUUCCCGGGCCUUGUACACACCGCCCGUCACACCACGAGAGUUUGUAACACCCGAAGUCGGUGGGGUAACCUUUUGGAGCCAGCCGCCUAAGGUGGGACAGAUGAUUGGGGUGAAGUCGUAACAAGGUAGCCGUAUCGGAAGGUGCGGCUGGAUCACCUCCUUUCUAUGGAG